CAGCAGCCGCGGUAAAACGUAGGGUGCGAGCGUUAAUCGGAAUUACUGGGCGUAAAGCGUGCGCAGGCGGUUCGUUAAGACAGAUGUGAAAUCCCCGGGCUUAACCUGGGAACUGCAUUUGUGACUGGCGAGCUAGAGUAUGGUAGAGGGGGGUAGAAUUCCACGUGUAGCAGUGAAAUGCGUAGAGAUGUGGAGGAAUACCGAUGGCGAAGGCAGCCCCCUGGGCCAAUACUGACGCUCAUGCACGAAAGCGUGGGGAGCAAACAGGAUUAGAGACCCGCGUAGUCCCUAUCUCUUAUAC
RNAcentral lists this ribosomal RNA (301 nucleotides) under uncultured bacterium. RNAcentral describes it as "partial 16S ribosomal RNA". It matches the Rfam family "Bacterial small subunit ribosomal RNA", at positions 509 to 807 of the family's 1533-position model. The record is from RNAcentral.